Molecule: non-coding RNA, 554 nt
Organism: Microcebus murinus (gray mouse lemur)
Lineage: Eukaryota; Metazoa; Chordata; Mammalia; Primates; Cheirogaleidae
Source: RefSeq, a predicted model, not a curated record
UCAAAAGACCCGGGAGACGCCUGGUGAUGGCCACUGCAGGAAUCAUCAUGAGCCGGGCAGACUCCCCAGUUUGUGUCUAUUAGCAGUGUCACUGCCCGUCGCUGACAGGAGUCCCGGCAGGAAACAGCUGACACUCAGAUUGGGCCAUUUGAGGAGAGUACAGUGAAACCCAUGUAUGAAGGAGGCAGCAGGGUGAAGGGAGAGCAGAGCCAGGAGCUGGGUCUCUAACAUCCAUUUAAGUCCUACAAUUCAGUCCUGUAAAUUCAUGUGAGCUCUACGUAGACUUCAGACAGCUGAAAUUUGGGGGCUUUGAUUAAACCAACAGAACUCAUGGGGUGUAAACUUGAUUUUUGUGCCCCACUACCCCUUUACAUUGAAUCAGAGGCUGAAGUUCUAUCCCUGAAUGAAAACUCAGGCAGUCCCAUGGCUUUUGUCAUCAUGCCCAGUGUACGUGAGGAGUCUCAGGAGUUGUGAAAUCUGUGUUUACAAUUUCUGUGUAAAUCCCCAUAUAGUCUACCGUGGGAUAUAGCAUCUACGUGUUCCUGCUGCCUCAA